Molecule: ribosomal RNA, 385 nt
Filed under: uncultured bacterium
Lineage: Bacteria
Description: bacterial SSU rRNA
Rfam family: Bacterial small subunit ribosomal RNA
Source: RNAcentral
GAUGAACGCUAGCGGCAGGCUUAACACAUGCAAGUCGAGGGGUAGAGUAGCAAUACUUGAGACCGGCGCACGGGUGCGUAACGCGUAUGCAAUCUACCUUUACAGAGGGAUAGCCCAGAGAAAUUUGGAUUAAUACCUCAUAGUAUUAUGGAAUGGCAUCAUUUUAUAAUUAAAGUCACAACGGUAAAGAUGAGCAUGCGUCCCAUUAGCUAGUUGGUAAGGUAACGGCUUACCAAGGCUACGAUGGGUAGGGUCCUGAGAGGGAGAUCCCCCACACUGGUACUGAGACACGGACCAGACUCCUACGGGAGGCAGCAGUGAGGAAUAUUGGACAAUGGGCGCAAGCCUGAUCCAGCCAUGCCGCGUGCAGGAUGACGGUCCUAUG